This 356-nucleotide long non-coding RNA is filed under the name Hordeum vulgare. RNAcentral's name for it is "long non-coding RNA (HVUL_LNC011692)". Lineage: Eukaryota; Viridiplantae; Streptophyta; Magnoliopsida; Poales; Poaceae. The record is from RNAcentral.
CUUGCACAAGCUCCAAUGUAGAAUGAGAGAGCACCUUAUUUAUUACCUCACAUCUUAUUGGACAAACUAGAUACAACCCAUUGGAGUAGUUGUAUGUUAAGGUGUUAGCUGAUGACAUGGCAUAUUUUACCAACAAGCUAACCAACAAACUGUUGGAGAUGUCCUAAACAAGCGUCAGUCGCACCGGCGCAGGAAUAGAAUAUGCCAUCCAACCGAAGCAUCCAGAUCCAAGCAUGCACACGAUCCAAAGCGUUCAUCCCUUUCCCUUUCCCACAGCGAUUUUCUUUUCUUUAUCUCUUGAGCAGCCCUACUGCCUCUACAUACACAUAUGUGGCGUAUGCGGAUUUCAUGGCCCC